GACGAACGCUGGCGGCGUGCUUAACACAUGCAAGUCGAGCGGAGCGGCGAACGGGUGAGUAACGCGUGAGUAACUGCCCCCCUCUCUGGGAUAACAGUUGGAAACGGCUGCUAAUACCGGAUAGUGGGGGAUGACUCGCGUCCUAUCAGCUUGGGGGUGGGGUAGUGGCCUACCAAGGCGUCGACGGGUAGCCGGCCUGAGAGGGCGACCGGCCAAAGUGGGCUGGGAUACGGCCGAAAGUCCGACGGGAAGCAGAAGUGGGGAAUGGUGGACAAGGGGGGACACACUGAUGCAGCAAGGCGCGUGCGGUAGGAGGGCGUUCGGGUUAUAAACCGCUUGCAGCCAUGACGCGGGAGUAGCAGAAGAAGGACGGGCUAACGACGUGCCAGUAGCCGCGGUAAGAC
RNAcentral lists this ribosomal RNA (404 nucleotides) under uncultured bacterium. RNAcentral's name for it is "partial 16S ribosomal RNA". It matches the Rfam family "Bacterial small subunit ribosomal RNA", at positions 28 to 526 of the family's 1533-position model. The record is from RNAcentral.